RNAcentral lists this ribosomal RNA (456 nucleotides) under uncultured bacterium. Its description in RNAcentral is "bacterial SSU rRNA". It matches the Rfam family "Bacterial small subunit ribosomal RNA", at positions 29 to 477 of the family's 1533-position model. The record is from RNAcentral.
AUUGAACGCUGGCGGCAUGCCUUACACAUGCAAGUCGAACGGCAGCGCGGGAGCAAUCCUGGCGGCGAGUGGCGAACGGGUGAGUAAUAUAUCGGAACGUGCCCAGUAGUGGGGGAUAGCCCGGCGAAAGCCGGAUUAAUACCGCAUACGACCUGAGGGUGAAAGCGGGGGAGUCGCAAGACCUCGCGCUAUUGGAGCGGCCGAUAUCAGAUUAGCUAGUUGGUGGGGUAAAGGCCUACCAAGGCAACGAUCUGUAGUUGGUCUGAGAGGACGACCAGCCACACUGGGACUGAGACACGGCCCAGACUCCUACGGGAGGCAGCAGUGGGGAAUUUUGGACAAUGGGGGCGAACCCUGAUCCAGCCAUGCCGCGUGAGUGAAGAAGGCCUUCGGUUGUAAAGCUCUUCAGACGGAAAGAAAACGACAUCGGUGAAUACCCGACUGUGGAUGACGGUA